This 440-nucleotide ribosomal RNA is filed under the name uncultured bacterium. RNAcentral describes it as "partial 16S ribosomal RNA". It matches the Rfam family "Bacterial small subunit ribosomal RNA", at positions 338 to 795 of the family's 1533-position model. The record is from RNAcentral.
CCUACGGGUGGCAGCAGUAGGGAAUAUUGCUCAAUGGGCGAAACCCUGAAGCAGCAACGCCGCGUGGAGGAUGAAGGUUUUCGGAUUGUAAACUUCUUUUGUUAGAGAAGAUAAUUACGGUAUCUAACGAAUAAUCCCCGGCUCACUCCGUUCCAGCAGCCGCGGCAAUACGGAGGGUGCAAGCGUUACUCGGAAUCACUGGGCGUAAAGAGCGCGUAGGCGGGAUAGCAAGUCAGAUGUGAAAUCCUAUGGCUUAACCAUAGAACUGCAGUUGAAACUGUUAUUCUAGAGUAUGGGAGAGGUAGGUGGAAUUCUUGGUGUAGGGGUGAAAUGCGUAGAGAUCAAGAAGAAUACUCAUUGCGAAGGCGGCCUGCUGGAACGUAACUGACGCUGAUGCGCGAAAGCGUGGGGAGCAAACAGGAUUAGAUACCCGUGUAGUC